This 497-nucleotide ribosomal RNA is filed under the name uncultured bacterium. RNAcentral's name for it is "partial 16S ribosomal RNA". It matches the Rfam family "Bacterial small subunit ribosomal RNA", at positions 28 to 507 of the family's 1533-position model. The record is from RNAcentral.
GAUGAACGCUGGCGGCGUGCCUAAUACAUGCAAGUCGAGCGAACGGACGCGAAGCUUGCUUCUCUGAUGUUAGCGGCGGACGGGUGAGUAACACGUGUAUCACCUACCUAUAAGACUGGGAUAACUUCGGGAAACCGGCGCUAAUACCGGAUGAUAUUUUGCACCGCAUGGUUCAAUAGUGAAAGACGGUCUUGCUGUCACUUAUCGAUGGAUCCGGGCUGCAUUAGCUAGUUGGUAAGGUAACGGCUUAUCAAGGCAACGAUGCAUAGCCGACCUGAGAGGGUGAUCGGCCACACUGGAACUGAGACACGGUCCAGACUACUACGGGAGGCAGCAGUAGGGAAUCUUCCGCAAUGGGCGAAAGCCUGACGGAGCAACGCCGCGUGAGUGAUGAAGGUCUUCGGAUCGUAAAACUCUGUUAUUAGGGAAGAACAUAUGUGUAAGUAACUGUGCACAUCUUGACGGUACCUAAUCAGAAAGCCACGGCUAACUACGUA